UGGUGCGAUCAUACCAGCAUUAAUGCACCGGAUCCCAUCAGAACUCCGAAGUUAAAAGUGCUGGGCGAGAGUAGU
This 75-nucleotide ribosomal RNA is filed under the name Ricinus communis (castor bean). The record is from RNAcentral. Lineage: Eukaryota; Viridiplantae; Streptophyta; Magnoliopsida; Malpighiales; Euphorbiaceae.